This 648-nucleotide ribosomal RNA is filed under the name uncultured bacterium. RNAcentral describes it as "bacterial SSU rRNA". It matches the Rfam family "Bacterial small subunit ribosomal RNA", at positions 62 to 745 of the family's 1533-position model. The record is from RNAcentral.
UCGAACGGAGAAUUGCUAGCUUGCUAAUAAUUCUCUAGUGGCGCACGGGUGAGUAACACGUGAGUACCUGCCCCCAAGAGUGGGAUAGCCCCGGGAAACUGGGAUUAAUACCGCAUAAAGCAAUAAAGCAGCAAUGCGCUUGGGGAUGGGCUCGCGUCCUAUUAGUUAGUUGGUGAGGUAACGGCUCACCAAGGCGAUGACGGGUAGCCGGUCUGAGAGGAUGUCCGGCCACACUGGAACUGAGACACGGUCCAGACACCUACGGGUGGCAGCAGUCGAGAAUCAUUCACAAUGGGGGAAACCCUGAUGGUGCGACGCCGCGUGGGGGAUAAGGUCUUCGGAUUGUAAACCCCUGUCAUGUGGGACAUUAAAAGAUAGUACCACAAGAGGAAGAGACGGCUAACUCUGUGCCAGCAGCCGCGGUAAUACAGAGGUCUCAAGCGUUGUUCGGAAUCACUGGGCGUAAAGCGUGCGUAGGCGGUUUCGUAAGUCGUGUGUGAAAGGCGGGGGCUCAACCCCCGGACUGCACAUGAUACUGCGAGACUAGAGUAAUGGAGGGGGAACCGGAAUUCUCGGUGUAGCAGUGAAAUGCGUAGAUAUCGAGAGGAACACUCGUGGCGAAGGCGGGUUCCUGGACAUUAACUGACG